CUGAAUGGAGUUUUUAAGGAAGAAUUUGAAGAUCACUAAAGUAACUGUAUUGCUAUUAACAGAGAACAUUUCUGCAGCCUGAGCUACCACAUGGUGGAAACCAGAGAUCCCAGGCCUACUUGAUCUUGUCCAUUUGGCACUGCUGGAGGAAUAACAAGUUUCUUCCCAUCAUGCAUCUUUCUGGGAUACAUCAUGACAGGGAAAUCUCAAAGCCCAGGUCAAUUAUAACAGAAGAUGUGUAGCACCUCUGCCCCCACGGCGUCUUCUGGGGAAUCCACUUGGCAAAAUGAUAUAAAACUAUUUUCGAAGACUUCCCAUGAUCUGGCACUACUUAGAACUAAGUGACUGGCAAAAUGUAAGGAAAUGUGCAUAUGCAGCUCAGCUCAUCUGCCUCUGCUUGCCAAGGAGCCAACUAACAUUGCGUGUGAGGAGGGGCCUGAGGCUGGCAGAGUUCUCACAGAAAGAGAGCUGCCAGGUGAAGAUGUCCUUGUGAGGCACAACAGUGGCUCUGGGGAAGAUUGUCUCCAAGGAAGGGCAGCACAAAGCCAGGC
This 551-nucleotide long non-coding RNA is filed under the name Lonchura striata (white-rumped munia). RNAcentral describes it as "domestica (Bengalese finch) lncRNA (ENSLSDG00000011237.1)". The record is from RNAcentral. Lineage: Eukaryota; Metazoa; Chordata; Aves; Passeriformes; Estrildidae.